RNAcentral lists this ribosomal RNA (2739 nucleotides) under Staphylococcus aureus W35325. RNAcentral describes it as "bacterial LSU rRNA". It matches the Rfam family "Bacterial large subunit ribosomal RNA". RNAcentral also lists the same sequence under 1 other name. The record is from RNAcentral. Lineage: Bacteria; Bacillati; Bacillota; Bacilli; Caryophanales; Staphylococcaceae.
ACCCGGAGAACUGAAACAUCUUAGUACCCGGAGGAAGAGAAAGAAAAUUCGAUUCCCUUAGUAGCGGCGAGCGAAACGGGAAGAGCCCAAACCAAAAAGCUUGCUUGUUGGGGUUGUAGGACACUCUAUACGGAGUUACAAAGGACGACAUUAGACGAAUCAUCUGGAAAGAUGAAUCAAAGAAGGUAAUAAUCCUGUAGUCGAAAAUGUUGUCUCUCUUGAGUGGAUCCUGAGUACGACGGAGCACGUGAAAUUCCGUCGGAAUCUGGGAGGACCAUCUCCUAAGGCUAAAUACUCUCUAGUGACCGAUAGUGAACCAGUACCGUGAGGGAAAGGUGAAAAGCACCCCGGAAGGGGAGUGAAAUAGAACCUGAAACCGUGUGCUUACAAGUAGUCAGAGCCCGUUAAUGGGUGAUGGCGUGCCUUUUGUAGAAUGAACCGGCGAGUUACGAUUUGAUGCAAGGUUAAGCAGUAAAUGUGGAGCCGUAGCGAAAGCGAGUCUGAAUAGGGCGUUUAGUAUUUGGUCGUAGACCCGAAACCAGGUGAUCUACCCUUGGUCAGGUUGAAGUUCAGGUAACACUGAAUGGAGGACCGAACCGACUUACGUUGAAAAGUGAGCGGAUGAACUGAGGGUAGCGGAGAAAUUCCAAUCGAACCUGGAGAUAGCUGGUUCUCUCCGAAAUAGCUUUAGGGCUAGCCUCAAGUGAUGAUUAUUGGAGGUAGAGCACUGUUUGGACGAGGGGCCCCUCUCGGGUUACCGAAUUCAGACAAACUCCGAAUGCCAAUUAAUUUAACUUGGGAGUCAGAACAUGGGUGAUAAGGUCCGUGUUCGAAAGGGAAACAGCCCAGACCACCAGCUAAGGUCCCAAAAUAUAUGUUAAGUGGAAAAGGAUGUGGCGUUGCCCAGACAACUAGGAUGUUGGCUUAGAAGCAGCCAUCAUUUAAAGAGUGCGUAAUAGCUCACUAGUCGAGUGACACUGCGCCGAAAAUGUACCGGGGCUAAACAUAUUACCGAAGCUGUGGAUUGUCCUUUGGACAAUGGUAGGAGAGCGUUCUAAGGGCGUUGAAGCAUGAUCGUAAGGACAUGUGGAGCGCUUAGAAGUGAGAAUGCCGGUGUGAGUAGCGAAAGACGGGUGAGAAUCCCGUCCACCGAUUGACUAAGGUUUCCAGAGGAAGGCUCGUCCGCUCUGGGUUAGUCGGGUCCUAAGCUGAGGCCGACAGGCGUAGGCGAUGGAUAACAGGUUGAUAUUCCUGUACCACCUAUAAUCGUUUUAAUCGAUGGGGGGACGCAGUAGGAUAGGCGAAGCGUGCGAUUGGAUUGCACGUCUAAGCAGUAAGGCUGAGUAUUAGGCAAAUCCGGUACUCGUUAAGGCUGAGCUGUGAUGGGGAGAAGACAUUGAGUCUUCGAGUCGUUGAUUUCACACUGCCGAGAAAAGCCUCUAGAUAGAAAAUAGGUGCCCGUACCGCAAACCGACACAGGUAGUCAAGAUGAGAAUUCUAAGGUGAGCGAGCGAACUCUCGUUAAGGAACUCGGCAAAAUGACCCCGUAACUUCGGGAGAAGGGGUGCUCUUUAGGGUUAACGCCCAGAAGAGCCGCAGUGAAUAGGCCCAAGCGACUGUUUAUCAAAAACACAGGUCUCUGCUAAACCGUAAGGUGAUGUAUAGGGGCUGACGCCUGCCCGGUGCUGGAAGGUUAAGAGGAGUGGUUAGCUUCUGCGAAGCUACGAAUCGAAGCCCCAGUAAACGGCGGCCGUAACUAUAACGGUCCUAAGGUAGCGAAAUUCCUUGUCGGGUAAGUUCCGACCCGCACGAAAGGCGUAACGAUUUGGGCACUGUCUCAACGAGAGACUCGGUGAAAUCAUAGUACCUGUGAAGAUGCAGGUUACCCGCGACAGGACGGAAAGACCCCGUGGAGCUUUACUGUAGCCUGAUAUUGAAAUUCGGCACAGCUUGUACAGGAUAGGUAGGAGCCUUUGAAACGUGAGCGCUAGCUUACGUGGAGGCGCUGGUGGGAUACUACCCUAGCUGUGUUGGCUUUCUAACCCGCACCACUUAUCGUGGUGGGAGACAGUGUCAGGCGGGCAGUUUGACUGGGGCGGUCGCCUCCUAAAAGGUAACGGAGGCGCUCAAAGGUUCCCUCAGAAUGGUUGGAAAUCAUUCAUAGAGUGUAAAGGCAUAAGGGAGCUUGACUGCGAGACCUACAAGUCGAGCAGGGUCGAAAGACGGACUUAGUGAUCCGGUGGUUCCGCAUGGAAGGGCCAUCGCUCAACGGAUAAAAGCUACCCCGGGGAUAACAGGCUUAUCUCCCCCAAGAGUUCACAUCGACGGGGAGGUUUGGCACCUCGAUGUCGGCUCAUCGCAUCCUGGGGCUGUAGUCGGUCCCAAGGGUUGGGCUGUUCGCCCAUUAAAGCGGUACGCGAGCUGGGUUCAGAACGUCGUGAGACAGUUCGGUCCCUAUCCGUCGUGGGCGUAGGAAAUUUGAGAGGAGCUGUCCUUAGUACGAGAGGACCGGGAUGGACAUACCUCUGGUGUACCAGUUGUCGUGCCAACGGCAUAGCUGGGUAGCUAUGUGUGGACGGGAUAAGUGCUGAAAGCAUCUAAGCAUGAAGCCCCCCUCAAGAUGAGAUUUCCCAACUUCGGUUAUAAGAUCCCUCAAAGAUGAUGAGGUUAAUAGGUUCGAGGUGGAAGCAUGGUGACAUGUGGAGCUGACGAAUACUAAUCGAUCGAAGACUUAAUCAA